AAUAUUGUUCUGAGAAGCCACAGAAAAAGGGUAGGCAUAUAGGAAAUUGGGGUAUACGUUGCCGCAAAAGAGACAAAUACUGUACGUACUUGAAAGUUUUACCUUUGAUGUGUAAUCCUUACUUUUGAUGCGGCCUCCCGUGAUCUCCGCAUCUUAAAGGCCAAAACGUGAGAAACUAAAGGAGUUGGAUCUGAUGGGAUGGUUCUCUCAGAUGCUCCGAG
Molecule: long non-coding RNA, 221 nt
Filed under: Homo sapiens (human)
Lineage: Eukaryota; Metazoa; Chordata; Mammalia; Primates; Hominidae
Description: long non-coding RNA NONHSAT175067
Source: RNAcentral